Molecule: unclassified non-coding RNA, 21 nt
Filed under: Mus musculus (house mouse)
Lineage: Eukaryota; Metazoa; Chordata; Mammalia; Rodentia; Muridae
Description: oocyte_clustered_small_RNA705
Source: RNAcentral
UCUAUUGGACGGAACACAGAG